Molecule: small nuclear RNA, 107 nt
Filed under: Myotis brandtii (Brandt's bat)
Lineage: Eukaryota; Metazoa; Chordata; Mammalia; Chiroptera; Vespertilionidae
Source: RNAcentral
GUGCUCGCUUCAGCAGCAUAUAUACUAAAAUUGGAACGAUACAGAGAAGAUUGGCGUGGCCCCUGCGCAAGGAUGGCACUCAAAUUCGUGAAGCGUUCCAUAUUAAA